GGGACGACAUGAGAUCACACG
Molecule: microRNA, 21 nt
Filed under: Carica papaya (papaya)
Lineage: Eukaryota; Viridiplantae; Streptophyta; Magnoliopsida; Brassicales; Caricaceae
Description: cpa-miR398
Gene: cpa-miR398
Source: miRBase by way of RNAcentral